GAAUGACUACAGCUUUAGCUCAGGCUACUGAAUGCAGAAGUCCUCUGUGCUCUGCGAGACCUCACUGACCCAGAAAUGGACCGGGAGUACAGUCUGAAACUACAACACAAUAAGGGACUUCACGGGAAGUGUAGCUCAACUCCUGACUCAAUUCUCCAUAAGAUUCUAGAACUACGUUCUCUUCCCAGGGAAGAUGUGAGCCCUCUUUUGUGUUUUGGAUCUCUCUGGUAUCCAAGAAGUAUACGAGCUUUUUCUCAGAUACCGGGAAAUGGGUGAGGUAUAACAUAGAAGCUACUCUUCCCUGAGACGAGAGGAUCUUCUCACAAUGGGGGAUGCUCUGUCCUAGCAGACAGUGGAGACGGUGAAGACCUGUGUUCAUCCCAGUUCUUGGACUCCCUGAAUUCUCUUUUUAAAAUCUUUGUGUGGAGUUGAAGAGAUGGUUCUGCAGUUAAGAGCACUUGUUGCUCUUGUAGAGGAACUGGAUUUGCUUUCCAGCACCUGCAUACAAUGGUGGUUCCCAAUCACCUGUAACUCCCAAUCCAAGGGAUCUGACAUCUUCUGAUUUCCUCAGGCAUAUGAUGCCCAGACAAAAUACCUAUAAACAUAAAAUAAAUGUCUUUACAAAUU
This 627-nucleotide long non-coding RNA is filed under the name Mus caroli (Ryukyu mouse). RNAcentral describes it as "lncRNA (MGP_CAROLIEiJ_G0005081.1)". The record is from RNAcentral. Lineage: Eukaryota; Metazoa; Chordata; Mammalia; Rodentia; Muridae.